This 548-nucleotide ribosomal RNA is filed under the name uncultured bacterium. RNAcentral's name for it is "partial 16S ribosomal RNA". It matches the Rfam family "Bacterial small subunit ribosomal RNA", at positions 355 to 895 of the family's 1533-position model. The record is from RNAcentral.
UGGGGAAUUUUGGACAAUGGGCGCAAGCCUGAUCCAGCCAUGCCGCGUGCGGGAAGAAGGCCUUCGGGUUGUAAACCGCUUUUGUCAGGGAAGAAAUCUUCUGAGUUAAUACCUCGGGAGGAUGACGGUACCUGAAGAAUAAGCACCGGCUAACUACGUGCCAGCAGCCGCGGUAAUACGUAGGGUGCAAGCGUUAAUCGGAAUUACUGGGCGUAAAGCGUGCGCAGGCGGUUUUGUAAGACAGAGGUGAAAUCCCCGGGCUCAACCUGGGAACUGCCUUUGUGACUGCAAGGCUUGAGUGCGGCAGAGGGGGAUGGAAUUCCGCGUGUAGCAGUGAAAUGCGUAGAUAUGCGGAGGGACACCGAUGGCGAAGGCAAUCCCCUGGGCCUGCACUGACGCUCAUGCACGAAAGCGUGGGGAGCAAACAGGAUUAGAUACCCUGGUAGUCCACGCCCUAAAACGAUGUCAACUGGUUGUUGGGAAGGUUCCUUCUCAGUAACGUAGCUAACGCGUGAAGUUGACCGCCUGGGGAGUACGGCCGCAAGGUU